RNAcentral lists this small RNA (951 nucleotides) under Histoplasma ohiense. Its description in RNAcentral is "hypothetical lncRNA". The record is from RNAcentral. Lineage: Eukaryota; Fungi; Ascomycota; Eurotiomycetes; Onygenales; Ajellomycetaceae.
CUGCUAAGCUAUCGCCGCUGCCAACCUAUCUAUUGCUGCAAGCUAUCCCUCACUGCUAAGCUAUCCCUCGCUGCUAAGCUAUCCCUCACUGCCAAGCUAUCCCUCGCUACUAAGCUAUCUAUCACUGCUAAUCUAUCGCUGCCAACCUAUCUAUCACUGCCAAUCUAUCUAUCGCUGCUAAUCUAUCGCUGCUAAUCUAUCGCUGCCAACCUAUCUAUCGCUGCCAAUUUAUCUACCACUGCCAAUCUAUCUAUCGCUGCUAAUCUAUCGCUGCUGUCAAUCUAUCUAUCGCUGCUUAUCUAUCUAUUGCUGCUAAUCUAUCACUGCUAAUAUAUUGCUGCUGCCAAUCUAUCUAUCACUGCUAAUCUAUCACUGCUAAUCUAUCGCUGCUGCCAAUCUAUCGCUGCUAAUUUAUUGCUGCUGCCAAUCUAUCGCUGCUAAUCUAUCGCUGCUAAUCCAUCACUGCUAAUCUAUCGCUGCCAACCUAUCUACCGCGGCGAAUCUAUCUAUUGCUGCCAACCAACCUACCUACCACUGCCAACCUAUCUAUCGCUGCCAAUCUAUCGCUGCUAAUCUAUCGCUGCCAAUCUAUCACUGCCAACCUAUCUACUGCAGUGAAUCUAUCUAUCACUAUCAUUACUAGUUCAAAAUAGAACUAGAGCAUAAAUACACUAAACUUCUUUUGAUAGGUAAUGAUUUUUGGUAACACUCAUAGCAUUAUAUCAUCUAUAUAGGGUAAAUCAUGGUCCCAUUUGGUCCCAUUUUGUAAAAUGGGACCAAAUGAGACCAGAAUCAGUAAUUUAUAAGAAGAACAUGACCUGGGACUAGAUUUAUAAUAUAAACAGUGUAAAGUGACUAAUUUAAUAAACACUAUAUGGGACCAGGACUAAGAAAUUUGAUAAUGGGACUGGAGAAAUAUUUAGUCCCAGUCCCAUGCAUGGUCACACAGCC